AGCGCGAAGCCAACUUCAAGAUAAGAUUUCCCACCGCAAGGGUAAGACCCCAGAAAGACUAUCUGGUUGAUAGGUCGAAGGUGUAAGUGCAGCAAUGUAUUUAGCUUAUCGAUACUAAUAGGUCGAGGACUUGACCAA
RNAcentral lists this ribosomal RNA (138 nucleotides) under Clostridioides difficile. Its description in RNAcentral is "partial 23S ribosomal RNA". It matches the Rfam family "Bacterial large subunit ribosomal RNA", at positions 2784 to 2925 of the family's 2925-position model. Lineage: Bacteria; Bacillati; Bacillota; Clostridia; Peptostreptococcales; Peptostreptococcaceae. The record is from RNAcentral.